AAAAAAAACCUGCUUAGUAUGAUAUUUGCUAUCUAGUUCACCAAAAAAAGUUUUUUCAAAGGGAUGAUAAAAGCUUUAACUACAAAGAGAUACAAUAUGCUAAGCAAUAGAGAAUAAAACUUAAACUAUAAAGAGAAUAGUAGACCGUUAAAACAAAUGCAGUAGCUUCCUAGUUAACAAUAUGGGCAAUACAAUCUAUUAUAUCUUUUAAUUAAGCCCUAAAACAAGCCAAGUAUUGUGAAUACUAUGCAAGAAUGUGUGUUGAAAGCUUCAAUCUAUCAAACUUGUUACAACCAUCUUUGCAUCUUCACUGAUGUGCCCCAUCUGUGAUAUGUUUUUUAGGACCUUGCAAUGCAUAUAUAAAAAAGUUGAUAAUAAAAAUUAAAAUUUGUGUCUAUCUAAAAUAUUGUCAAAGCAUUAGGGUAAACUUUAAGAAUUGAUUUAAUAGCUAGAAUUAAAUUUUUUUUUCCUUGUAAUGAGCACCACAUAAAGAAAAUAAAUCUAAAGCUUCUAACCACAAAAUUAGACUUUAAUUUUAUGCAAGAAGUGACCAAGGGAAAAAAAUCAACAAGAUAUGCACAAACUUCAAAAGAUUAGGCAGAGUACAAAAGGCUUUGAAAAAACUGCAACAAAAUACAUAUAAUAGAUGACUUAAGUUAAGCAAGUUCAUUUGCCACCUGAUUGUUUUCUAAGAUUGAAACCAUGGCAAGCCAUGAAAGAUGUUCUGUAUCAUGUGUCCAAGAGGCCCAAUUGAUUCGUUGGUUUGAUGGCUUGAAAAAGCAACGUGCUCCUUAAUAAAUGAUACCAAACCCAUCACAAUACACCAAAAAUAAAUAUCACCAUAAAAAUAAUAAUAAUAAAUAAAUAAAUAAUUUGACUCUCUCUCUCUCUCUCUCUCUGUUGCUGCAUGCAUUUUCUUCUUUGUUUCUUCACCAAUUAUCAUCAAGCAAAACGAUCGGUCAACGGGGUUCGAGAAUUUUAAUGAUUUUUGAACCCAGAAGUGGUUCAGGGACUUUGUAAUAACAACUCAUGAAUUCUAUUUAAGGAUAUAUGGAAUUAUUAUUAUUAAUGGAGCGGUUGGUGGCUUUGGUUUCGCUUGGUUUUGUAUCAAAGGUUUCUGCUAAUGCCGAAGAGGCGAUGCUUUGAAUGCUUUGAAGACCAAUUUAGCUGAUCCAAACAAUGUUCUGCAAAGUUGGGAUCCUACCCUUGUGAAUCCCUGCACAUGGUUCCAGGUAACAUGCGAUAGCGAAAAUAGUGUGACAUGAGUUGAUCUUGGAAAUGCAAAUCUUUCUGGUCAACUGGUUCCACAACUUGGUCAGCUUUUAAAUCUGCAAUAUUUGUUUAUUUUCCAUACCUCAUAAGGCGUGCGCCUAUGUACUUGCCAAAUCCUUUGAGUGAGCUUCUUCAUGAUCCAACUUUGAAGGUAUAUACUGUGAAAAACUAGAAUUUUCCUUGUAUUGAGAUCUUCCAUUUCUUUCUGCAUCGCCUUUGAUGCAGUUCAUUUUUAAAGCCAGCUGUUACUAGCUUAUGUUGUAUAAUAAGUAGUUAGCAUGUGUAACAAAGUCACAUGCUGAAAGAAAUCACAAGUUAUAGCCAGCACUUAGCUUAUAUAUCAUUUAUCUCACAUGUCUAAAUUAAUUGGUCACAUUUCGAAUUAACUUCUACUACAUUUUCCAUGUGCCAUAUUAUUUAAUCAUGUCUAAAAUGAAAGCCUUUCCUUGAGUAGCAUAUUUCAGCCACAUCAUCAUGCCCUAGUGGAGUGGUCUUCCAUGUCAUCAUGUCCUUGUCAUCAUGACAUAAUCAGACACCUUGUCAUACUUGCAUCAUCUGAUCUGUGUUUUUUUGUUUGUAUUAAAUGUCCCCAACUGCUGGUUCUGCAACCAAAGUCUUGUCCAUGGUGAUGGGCAAAGUCUCAAAGUGUGUUUAUGGUUGUCGUGCAUUUCAGGUGAAGUUUGGUUGUUUAAACUCAUAUUGUUGGGGUGUGGUUAGAUCUCCACUAACUCGUUUAUCACUUAAAAAAAAUCCUUUCCACCCCUAAAAGUAUCAUCUAUCUGGUAUGAUUUCUUCACCAUGACUGUCAUUCCUUCCAUACUCUGCCACAUAUAAAAACUGGCUUCAUUUGCUAUAACAUCUCUAAAACACAAAAGCUUUGCAUGAUUCCCUCAAAUUUUUUAAGGAAUCUUUGGUAGGGUCGUGAUGCAUUUAAACUUGAUAACGUUGAGCAGAACAAAUUGCUCCCUUGUUCCCUCAGAGCCUUUUGCUCAUAAAUCCUUUGCCCCAUUUGAUAAUCCAAAGCCCGUAUCUUCUUGUGCGUUCUUCUAAAACUAUUUUGAAUGAUUUCGAUUCUAACUGAAAGAACUUCCUACCUCCCAUCUCUCUUAAUUGGAAUGUAUUCUUUAGGUUCUUGAUUAUUUACUUUGUGAUGAGUCCCGAAAGACUGCUGCCACCCGCCCCUCCCACCGUUUGGACCUCCCAUUUUUGCUGUAAUAUAGUGGAAGAAGUUGGGUGGAGCACCAACUGAUAUAAUAUUUUAAUGAACCAUGUAAGAACACAUUGUUACACACAAACAUGUACGAAUAUGAUGGAUUAUAUUUCAUGUUUUAUCCUGUUUUUCUUUUGUUGAUUUUCUUGAAUAACAUGAGUAACAAUUCACUGGAAUGCAAUUCCUCUAUGUCUUAUGUGGUGAAUUUUGGAGACAAUGAAAUGCUCAAAGAGUUGAACAGUGUGUGAAAUCAAUUUCAGACUUGAAGCUUUUGUUGUUAAGGUCAUUAUAUGAUUGGAUGGCUGCCAUUGCAACAUUUUUCUUUUUAGUCUUAAUUGAUAGCUUUUGGUGUAUGUCUUUUAUACAUCCUAUUGUGGAUUAUAUCUUUCAAUAUUCAACUUAUGUAUGUGUCUUAUAGUUUCUUUUUGCCAUCUAAUCUAGGAAAUGGUUUAUUGGUUCUGGCCAUUGUUCUAUAUGUUGCUGAAGCAAAGUUUAUGAAUGUUAAAUUUGACUCAUUUUGCAAUCUUUUGCAAUAAAACAUGGAAUGUGCUAUAUAGAUUUUUUUUUCUUUUUUCUUUUUUC
Long non-coding RNA from Quercus robur (English oak), 3064 nucleotides. RefSeq lists it as uncharacterized. The transcript has 4 exons. The record is from RefSeq and is a predicted model, not a curated record. Lineage: Eukaryota; Viridiplantae; Streptophyta; Magnoliopsida; Fagales; Fagaceae.